GAAGAAACAGAAGAAGAAGAAGAAGAAGACAUAUUUCAGAACACUCUACACACAGGCGGAUGUUCUACCUUCUGUCCUCCACCCUGAGAGGAGAAACCAGAACCGGACCCGGACCCGGACUCUCCCUUCGGUCCUGCGGGGCCUCUGUCCCCGCUGGAGCCUUUCUCUCCCUUGUCUCCUUUCUCACCUUUAGAACCACCUGGACCUGAGGAACCGGUCACCCAAUCAUUAAUCAGCAGUUGUUUAGGAGAAGCAUCCAGAUCUGUCUUGUUUAAUCAGCAUGUGGGGGAGGAGAUGACGACUGGAUUUAACUCCAAAAGCAACUAAAAUAAAACUUCUGACUUAUUUCUCUGACACGGCUUAAAGAACAACUCGUGUUUGGAUCAUCCGCCCUCCACCAACAUGCUCACAGCACCACCCAGCAGCUCAUUCUACGCUGUGAUAGGAUGGCUGCGUUCUGCCAGGCGUGACCCGAUGCUUCUGCCACCAG
Molecule: long non-coding RNA, 490 nt
Organism: Acanthopagrus latus (yellowfin seabream)
Lineage: Eukaryota; Metazoa; Chordata; Actinopteri; Spariformes; Sparidae
Exons: 3
Source: RefSeq, a predicted model, not a curated record